GAGAGAAGAGCACGCGGAUAAAUCUUAAUCUUUUUCCGCGUAAAAUGAAAAAAAUUACAUUAACAUUGAAAAUUGAAUUUUUUGAAUUAAAUGGUACAAUUAGUUUUUCCUUCUUUAGCUCUAACUUUCUCUCUUUAUAUGAUAUGAGUAAAAGAAAAUGAGAUAGCUACGGAAUCACUUUACUAAGUUGGAGUUUCUAUGCGGGCUAAGCCUUUCACAAAAGAAAGCAAGUUCCUUUGACUUUACAAAAAGCAAGAGAGAUCCAGAAAGCGAGUAGGUAGGAUAGCUAGCAUUCUUUUCCAGCUCUAUUACCUAG
This 316-nucleotide unclassified non-coding RNA is filed under the name Hevea brasiliensis (rubber tree). Lineage: Eukaryota; Viridiplantae; Streptophyta; Magnoliopsida; Malpighiales; Euphorbiaceae. The record is from RNAcentral.